Molecule: transfer RNA, 86 nt
Filed under: Sandaracinomonas limnophila
Lineage: Bacteria; Pseudomonadati; Bacteroidota; Cytophagia; Cytophagales; Flectobacillaceae
Description: Cytophagaceae bacterium FSY-15 tRNA-Tyr
Rfam family: tRNA
About the family: Transfer RNA (tRNA) molecules are approximately 80 nucleotides in length. Their secondary structure includes four short double-helical elements and three loops (D, anti-codon, and T loops).
Source: RNAcentral
GGGGAUAUACCAGAGUGGCCAAAUGGGGCAGACUGUAAAUCUGCUGGCGUACGCCUUCGGUGGUUCGAAUCCAUCUGUCCCCACAA